Unclassified non-coding RNA from Aotus nancymaae (Ma's night monkey), 299 nucleotides. It matches the Rfam family "Metazoan signal recognition particle RNA". Rfam says of the family: The signal recognition particle (SRP) is a universally conserved ribonucleoprotein. It is involved in the co-translational targeting of proteins to membranes. The eukaryotic SRP consists of a 300-nucleotide 7S RNA and six proteins: SRPs 72, 68, 54, 19, 14, and 9. NCBI's taxonomy places the organism in Eukaryota, Metazoa, Chordata, Mammalia, Primates, Aotidae. The record is from Ensembl.
GCCAGGCGUGGUUGCGCGUGCCUGUAGUCCCAGCUACUUGGGAGGCUGAGGUGGGAGGAUUUCUUGAGCCCAGGAGUUCUGGGCUGUAGUGCGCUGUGCUGAUCGGGUGUCCUCACUAAGUUCAGCAUCAAUAUGGUGACCUCCCGGGAGCAGGGGACCACCAGGUUGCCUAAGGAGGGGUGAACCAGCCCAGGUGGGAAACGGAGCAGGUCAAAACUCACGUGCUGAUCAGUAGUGGGAUCGUGCCUGUGAAUAGUCACUGCACUCCAGCCUGGGCAACAUAGCGAGACCCCGUCUCU